UAGUUGAGUCACAUAGUACAAAGCAUGGU
RNAcentral lists this non-coding RNA (29 nucleotides) under Mus musculus (house mouse). The record is from RNAcentral. Lineage: Eukaryota; Metazoa; Chordata; Mammalia; Rodentia; Muridae.